CACCGCCUGGGGAGUACGACCGCAAGGUUAAAACUCAAAUGAAUUGACGGGGACCCGCACAAGUAGUGGAGCAUGUGGUUUAAUUCGAAGAUACGCGCAGAACCUUACCAACACUUGACAUGUUCGUCGCGACUUUAAGAGAUUAAAGUUUUCGGUUCGGCCGGACGAAACACAGGUGCUGCAUGGCUGUCGUCAGCUCGUGUCGUGAGAUGUUGGGUUAAGUCCCGCAACGAGCGCAACCCUCACUUUUAGUUGCCAUCAUUAAGUUGGGCACCCUGAAAGAACUGCCAGUGAUAAGCUGGAGGAAGGUGGGGAUGACGUCAAGUCCUCAUGGCCCUUACGUGUUGGGCUACACACGUGCUACAAUGGUAUAUACAACAGGAAGCAAGACGGCGACGUUAAGCAAAUCCUCAAAAGAUACCUCAGUUCGGAUUGCACUCUGCAACUCGAGUGCAUGAAGCUGGAAUUACUAGUAAUCGUGGAUCAGCGUGCCACGGUGAAUGCGUUCCCGGGUCUUGUACACACCGCCCGUCACACCAUGGGAGUUGGUUCUACCUUAAGGCAAGGUUUCAAACCCUUGACCACGGUAUAGUCAGCGACUGGGGUGAAGUCGUAACAAGGUAGCCGUAGGGGAACCUGCGGCUGGAUUACCUCCUUUCUAAGGAUGAAUAAAAGUAAAUUUUUAUUCUAAAAAAUACACAGGUUAAUGUUGACCGUCCUCAUUUCUCUUCUUAAUAUUUAGUGUUUCUCUUGAAUGGGGGCCGGUAGCUCAGUUGGUUAGAGCACACCCUUGAUAAGGGUGGGGUCGAAAGUUCGAGUCUUUCUCGGCCCACCAAAAGGUAAUUAAGGGGGAUUAGCUCAGCUGGGAGAGCGCCUGAUUUGCAUUCAGGAGGUCAGCGGUUCGAUCCCGCUAUCCUCCACCAAAAGUAACACUUAGCUAUUUAAUUUGUGAAUAAAAAUAAUAUUAAUAUCAAUAUCUAUAUCCGAUUGUUCGAAUAGAUGAACAACCAUUACAAAUGUUCGAAUAGAUGAACAUUUUUGAAAAAAUUUGAUUCAACACAGAAUUUUUUUCUG
Molecule: small RNA, 1074 nt
Filed under: uncultured Pelagibacterales bacterium
Lineage: Bacteria; Pseudomonadati; Pseudomonadota; Alphaproteobacteria; Candidatus Pelagibacterales
Description: bacterial SSU rRNA
Rfam family: Bacterial small subunit ribosomal RNA (bases 1-658)
Source: RNAcentral